Molecule: ribosomal RNA, 382 nt
Filed under: uncultured eukaryote
Lineage: Eukaryota
Description: partial 18S ribosomal RNA
Rfam family: Eukaryotic small subunit ribosomal RNA
Source: RNAcentral
CAAUAGCGUAUAUUAAAGUUGUUGCAGUUAAAAAGCUCGUAGUUGGAUUUCUGGUUGAAGCGACCGGUCGGGCGUUGAUUCGUCUGCACUGGAGUCGGUUUUGGCCAUCCUCUAGGAAAGUGCGUCUGGUAUUAAGUUAUCGGGCGUAUGAUCCUGGUCUUUUACUGUGGAAAAAUUAGAGUGUUUAAAGCAGGCCUUCGCCUUGAAUACAUUAGCAUGGAAUAAUAAGAUAGGACUUUGGUCUAUUUUGUUGGUUUGCAGACCGAAGUAAUGAUUAAUAGGGAUAGUUGGGGGUAUUUAUAUUCCGAUGUCAGAGGUGAAAUUCUUAGAUUUUCGGAAGAUAAACUUAUGCGAAAGCAUUUACCAAGGAUGUUUNCAUUAA